AGUGAACGCUGGCGGUAGGCCUAACACAUGCAAGUCGAACGGCAGCACAGUAAGAGCUUGCUCUUACGGGUGGCGAGUGGCGGACGGGUGAGGAAUACAUCGGAAUCUACUUUUUCGUGGGGGAUAACGUAGGGAAACUUACGCUAAUACCGCAUACGACCUACGGGUGAAAGCAGGGGAUCUUCGGACCUUGCGCGAUUGAAUGAGCCGAUGUCGGAUUAGCUAGUUGGCGGGGUAAAGGCCCACCAAGGCGACGAUCCGUAGCUGGUCUGAGAGGAUGAUCAGCCACACUGGAACUGAGACACGGUCCGGACUCCUACGGGAGGCAGCAGUGGGGAAUAUUGGACAAUGGGCGCAAGCCUGAUCCAGCCAUACCGCGUGGGUGAAGAAGGCCUUCGGGUUGUAAAACCCUUUUGUUGGGAAAGAAAAGCAGCAGGUUAAUACCCCGCUGUUCUGACGGUACCCAAAGAAUAAGCACCGACUAACUUCGUG
This 492-nucleotide ribosomal RNA is filed under the name uncultured bacterium. Its description in RNAcentral is "partial 16S ribosomal RNA". It matches the Rfam family "Bacterial small subunit ribosomal RNA", at positions 29 to 507 of the family's 1533-position model. The record is from RNAcentral.